Molecule: RNA transcript, 4001 nt
Organism: Scylla paramamosain (green mud crab)
Lineage: Eukaryota; Metazoa; Arthropoda; Malacostraca; Decapoda; Portunidae
Gene name: serine/threonine-protein kinase TNNI3K-like
Exons: 16
Source: RefSeq, a predicted model, not a curated record
UUGAUAGGUGGCACCUCCGUGGCCUCUACCUUGAGAUAAAUCCGGGUGAGAGAGAGGCACUGGCAGUGGCACUGAGACAGGUGUAGGACGGUAGCGGUGCCCGCCCCCGUCUGUCCGUGGUGUGUGUGGCAGAGUAAAGACAAUGAGAGCCAUCUUUUUAAUGACGUAUUAGAGCGUCAUUUAUCGUCAUCCACUUCCGACCAUUACGCCAAUUACUUCCGACCAAUCACCACGUGUAUUCGAGGCGGCCGCGGCAGUCAGCUGUCCACCUGUAAGGGUCUUCGUCAUUCAGUGUCACAAUGGCAGAUAAGACCAUGGGGAACUACAAGUCCAGAUCUAGGUCAACAUGUUCUCAGGAGCUUCACAAGAAAAUCCUACAAAAUUAUGUAAAUCUAGAGCAUAAGAUGCAGGAAGACUUGAAUGUGGAACUUGAGAAUCUUACUGAGAUUCAACAAGUCUGUAGCAAUGGAUCUGCAGAUCAACUGGCAAAACAUCUGAAUUCUGAGACUGUUGGUGAACGAUUAGAUAAUGGCAUGACACUGCUUCACCUCUGUUGUCUAGCAGCUGUCAGUGGAAAGAAUGAUUCAGUAAAAGAGUUGGACUGCAAUGACACUGAGGGGAAGAGUAAUGUUUCUUAUAAUACAAGUGUCCUCCAGCUUAUGAGAUCCCCAAGAGAAAAAGGUGAUCAUGAAGACAGGACCCGAGAACAUGUGAAUGAGCAGAGUACAAAAACUAGAAAUAGAGAAGCAAGAGAGCAGAUUCGUCUUCUUCUAAAGAAAGGAGCUGAUCCAGCCAUUAUCAGCAAGAAUGGAUUUUCACCACUUCAUAUCGUAUCAUACAAGGGAGAUGUGGAGAUUGUUAGACUCUUCUUGGAGAAUUGCAGUCACCUGGACCACACUGGUGCUGGGAGCCUGACUGCUUUACACCUGUCAUGCCUGAGUGGCCAGCUGGAGGUGACACAAGCCCUGGCACAGCGGGGAGCCAACAUAGAGGCACGAGAUGCUGUCUCAUAUUCCCCCCUGCACAUUGCCUGCCUCUACGGGAAUGAGACUGUGGUGGAGUAUUUGCUGUCCCGGGGAGUUGACGUGAACAUUUCGGGGUCAGUGGGUGACCGGCCUCUACAUCUGGCAGCUGACCGUGGGGACUACAAAGUGGUGCAGCUGUUGCUCAAGAAGGGUGCCCGAGUAAGGCUGCAAGAUGAAGAAGGCAACACAGCCCUACACUGCUGUGUGAGAAAUGGCUACUUGAAUAUUCUGAAUCUCCUCCUCCAACCACAGUACCGCAAUGAUGCCCACAUUCCUAAUGUUUACCUCGACACACCACUGCAUGUGGCUUGUUAUGAAGGGUGGUUUGAAUGCUCCAAGACUCUUCUGACCUUUGGAGGUUCAGGUCUUCUUCUAAAAGAGAACCUGUGGGGAGAGACACCCCUUCAUGCAGCCUGCACAGGAGGAUAUUGCAUUGACUUGGUGGAUUUCCUCUUGAGUCAGAAUUCCACUUCUGUAAACUAUCAGAGUCCUGAUGGGCACACACCACUGCACUCUGCUGCCUUCCAUGGACACCUCAAGAUAGUUCAGUUGUUGCUCAGCCACGGGGCAGACAUCAACCUCACUGCUCGAGACCGUUAUGUGCCCUUCGACAAAAAAGAAGAGCAGACACCUCUUAUGUGGGCUUAUGACCAAGGACAUGACAGCAUAGCCAACAUUCUCAAGCACUUCCGUCGGCCAGGCAUGUGUGAUGAGUACGCCAGAGGAGAGUAUCUAUCUCCCCUCGACACUUCCUAUUUCCCCAUCCCAUCACCCAUCGGGAAACUGCGUACUAUGAUACAAGAAAAAAUUGAUGUACUUCAUUUGAGAACACUGAUACCACCUCACCAACACCUCAGCCUGGCAGAGAUAGAAAACUUGGAAAAUAUAGAUUCAGGUUCUUUUGGUAAAGUCUACAAAGGAAGAUUCAAUGAUAAGAUUGUGGCUGUCAAGAGGUACCGAGCCAACAUGACCUAUGGAAAAAGUGAUGUGGAGAUGUUUUGCAGAGAAGUGUCAGUUCAUGGGUCUCUGGAUUCCCCCUACAUUGUUAAAUUUGUUGGAGCAUGUUUACAAGAUCCCAGUCAAUUUGCAAUAGUGACGGAAUAUGUUCCUGGCGGCUCCCUCUUCAGCACCUUACAUGAACAGAAAAGGUCCAUAGACACACUGACAAGAUUCAACAUAGCAACUGAUGUGGCAAGAGGCAUGCACUACCUGCACACUCUGCCGCAGCCCAUUAUACACAGGGACCUCAACUCCCACAACAUUCUUUUAAGCAAUGAUUGUCGUGCUCGUGUUGCUGAUUUUGGAGAGUCAAGGUUUGUGCGGAACAUCUUUGAGGAGAACAUGACAAAGCAGCCCGGCAACCUGAGAUGGAUGGCUCCUGAAGUCUUUACACAAUCCCACACUGGCUGUAGUUACUUCCAGUGCACCAGUCUCCUGUGUGAGAUCAUUCCAGACCAAGUCAUUUAUGUCCCCAUCAAGCCAGGCUGUGGAGCAUUUGUUGCUCUACCUUCACCUUCAGCCUUCUUUAAAAUCAUGAUCCUGUCACUCAUCCUUAUCAUAUUCACAACCUGAUUACCCAUUGGUUAGAUAAUUAUAACUGCAGGUUAGUCAACUUUGCAUCAUUAAGUUUCAAGUUACUAAAAGCUUUCAUAUUCAAAUAGUUAACUAGAAAUAAAUAUAAAUGAACAAAUGGACUGAGAUGUACUGUGCCCACCUCACCUUGUGAUCUUGUGUCUCAUAUGUUUAUUAUAGUCACCAAAUACCAACCUUACAUCACAGUGGCACAUGCUGCUCAGGGAGUGUGUUUUAUUUAAGGCCUCCCAGCAAGCAUAAAAAAAAUAGGCUGGGACAAAUUGUCUAAUUGGCAUCUUAAGUGCAUCUUUCCUCCUCACUCACAUCAGUAGCAGCAAUGACCAUUAUUAAUUACUAGACUCAGUAUUCAUUGUGUCUUUGAUGACAUGUAACUGGCUCUUUUCUUAUGAUGAAAUGCAUUAUGUUCGUUCUUUGUGGUGUUUGUAGUGACGAGUGUGAGGCAGACAAGCCACAGUGAUAUCAUUCCAUCAUAAACCUUCACAUGUGCUAUACGUGAAUGCUGUCCAUAUAACAAAACAUGUGAAUAAGAAAAUACAAAAUUUCCAGAACCUCUAAUGAAAAUUUGUGAAGGAAGGCAGUGAGGAAUUAUCUUUUUACAGCCAUGGUGGUGGCAUCUGCACUGCUUCCCUUCAACUGCCAUGCUGUAAAAGUCAGAUUAGAGUCCAACUGCUUUCAUAGAAAAGCUAGAAGCUGUGUGGUAAAAAUAAAGGGAUGCCAGCACUAGUUGUGAAAAGACAAUUACUCACUAUUUCCCUUGACGAAUUUUCAAAUGACGUUUUAGAAGUUUCACAUUUUUAAAUUCACAUGUUUUGCUAUAUCGACACCAUUCAGCCCAACAUGUGAAGAUCUGUGAUUGAAUACUUUGUCUGCCUUGUCUGCCUUGCGUUCAUUACAGCACUACACAUCACACCACAGCAUAAACAGAACAUAAUGUAUUUCACCCCAAGAACAGAGCCUAUCAAGUAUCACCAAAGAUACAACAAACACUAACACUGAUAACCUGCUUAAUACUAGUCAUUGUUGCUAUAGGUGUGAGUGAGGAGGAAAGAUGCACUUGAGAUGCUAAUAAAUCAAUUUGUCCCUGCCCAAUUUUUAUGCUUGCUGGGAGGCCUUAAGUAAAACAUGCUCCCUGAGCAGCAUGUGUCGCCAUGAUGCAAGAUCAGCGUUUGCUGACUGUAUUUCUACAAAGUGCAGGAAAUGGGGUUAUGAUGAUUUCUUUUCCUCUCCCAACAAGUGCACCCAGUACUCAAUCAAGGCAGACGUCUUUUCUUUUGGGUUGUGUUUGUGGGAGCUGCUUGCCUCUGAACUGCCUUUUGCACAUUUAAAGCCUGCUGCAGCAGCUGCUGAUAUGGCCUAUAAACAUAGUCGACCACCCCUAGACCU